Dermochelys coriacea (leatherback sea turtle) is the source of this 781-nucleotide long non-coding RNA. RefSeq lists it as uncharacterized. The transcript has 2 exons. The record is from RefSeq and is a predicted model, not a curated record. NCBI's taxonomy places the organism in Eukaryota, Metazoa, Chordata, Testudines, Dermochelyidae.
UUGGCAGAGCAGCUGCAGCUGGGGCCACACCCCAACCAGACCCAGCUGGCCCUAUAAAGGUCAGGGAAGCCAGGAGCUGAAAGAACUCUUUCUAGCUUGUGGAGGGAGAGGGGCCUGGUUGCUGGAAAGCUGAGUGUAUAUCUGAAGUGGAGCAGGGCUGGGGGAAGGCCAGAGGAGCUGGGGGCGUUCUGGCCUGGAAACCCCUCAGGCUGCAGGCCUAGAGUAAGGCCCAAUAGGUCCUGGAGUUGCAGGGGGCAGCCAAAGGAAGAGUUGGCAAACUGGUCUUGCCAGUUGAAGAUGUGCAACCACCUGCCUUGAUUCAUAUGUAAAUUGAGCAUGGUAAAGCCAACACAAAGGAAAUCUUAUUUAUAUGUGAAAGUCAACAAGAAAAGCAGGUUGACUGGUGGUGGGGAGAAACAAACAGGAGUAUGGGAAGACACCUUGGAGCCUGCAGACCAGGAAGAAAACCACAAGAAGUCAACCUGACUCUGGACAAAAACAAUGGACUUUGAGGUAUUGAAGGAAAGCACAAUGAUCCCUCUUUUUGUCGUGCAUUUGAGAGGGUAACCAGACAGUGCUGUUAUGCCCAUGAAAACAGGAUCUCCACCAACCUUGGUUGAAAUGCCGCAAGAAAGAGCGUGGGUGAGAAAUUGCUUUGGACAAGAUCAGCCUGUUAAAGUUUUUUAGUGUGUUGUACUUUUGUUUUUUAACCUGUUGUUACCUUUGCUCACUAUCUCAAGUCAUUACCUUUGUUAAUAAACAUAUUUGUUUGCACUAUAAA